AAUGCCUGACUAGGAGAUGGGAUUCAGAUGGCAGAAUAGGAGGACUGGAGCUCAACUUCUUUCCUAAAAACAACAAAACUUACGACCAAAUGCUGAGCAAUUUUCAACCAAAUGGACCGGACACUUUCAAAAAGACAUUCUACACUGGAAGACAAAGAGGAGGCCACAUCAAGAGGUAGGAGGGGCCAUUACGUGAUAUAAGCAACCUCAUACCUCCCCAGUGGGAAGCCCCACAGACUGGAAAGUAACUGGUUCACAGAGACUCACCUACAGGAGUGAGAGUUCUGAGCCCCACAUCAAACCCCCCACACGUGGGGAUCUGGCACUGGGAGCAAGAGCCCCUGGAGCAUCUGGCAUUGAAGGCCAGUGGGGCUUGUGUGCAGGAGCUCCACGGGACUGGGGAAGCGGAGACCCCAUUCUUGGAAGGCGCACACAGGCUUUCCCCUGCACUGGGUCCCAGGGCAAAGCAGGGUCUCGGUGGGAAUCUGGGUUCGACGUGCCUGCAGUUCUUGGAGGACCUCCUGGGAAAGCAGGAGUGAAUGUGGCUUGUUGUGGGGAAAGGACAUUGGAAGCAAAGCUCUCAGGAGUCUUCAUCAGCCUGUGGUUUCCUGGAGGGGGCCAUUUUGGGAAAAUCUGGCCCCGCCCAUGAGCGCUGAGAAGCCCCAGGGCAAACAGCAAUCCGGUGGGAUCACAGCCCCUCCCUGCAGUAACAGGCUCCCUAAAGACCCCCCAGGCACACAGCCGCCUCUAAUCCCAUCCAGAGACAAAGCCCCACCCACCAGAGGGAUGGGAAUCAGCUGCACCUACCAGUGGGCAGGCAUCAGUCCCUCCCAGCAAGAAGCCUACAGCAACCCCCUACCAACUCCAACCACAACGGGGGCAGACGCCAAAAGUAAGAGAGGCUACAACUCUAUUAUCUGUAAAAAGGUCACCACACCAAAAACCUAUAAAAAUGAAAAGACAGAAAACUAUAACUCAGAUGAGGGAGAAAGGAAAGAAUGCCUGACUAGUGAAGUUUGCAGGCUAUAUAGCAGCAUUGGGGGAAAAGCUGAAAGCUCUGUGGGUCACAGUCACUGA
Molecule: long non-coding RNA, 1077 nt
Filed under: Sus scrofa (pig)
Lineage: Eukaryota; Metazoa; Chordata; Mammalia; Artiodactyla; Suidae
Description: lncRNA (ENSSSCG00055029235.1)
Source: RNAcentral